UCAGAAAAAGGAGGCUGCCACAGACAGUGAAUCUGGGGAGUCAUCAGAAGACAGUGUUCAGAAAAAAAUUGAUUAUUCGUUUAAGAAAGAAGUUGAAGAGGGACCUUCAAAACAUCUGCAGCAGGAAGCAGAAGUGAAAACACAAUUUCCAGUAUUGUUUUAAUAGAUUAAAGAGAUUUUCA
Long non-coding RNA from Sinocyclocheilus anshuiensis, 182 nucleotides. RefSeq lists it as uncharacterized. The record is from RefSeq and is a predicted model, not a curated record. NCBI's taxonomy places the organism in Eukaryota, Metazoa, Chordata, Actinopteri, Cypriniformes, Cyprinidae. The transcript has 3 exons.